CACGUAGGAGGCGAGCGUUGUCCGGAAUCAUUGGGCGUAAAGAGCGCGCAGGCGGCUUGACAAGUCGGGUGUGAAAUCCCGGGGCUCAACCCCGGGACUGCAUUCGAUACUGUCAGGCUAGAGUCUGGUAGGGGGAUCUGGAAUUCCUGGUGUAGCGGUGGAAUGCGCAGAUAUCAGGAGGAACACCGGUGGCGAAGGCGGGAUCCUGGGCCAGUACUGACGCUGAGGAGCGAAAGCGUGGGGAGCAAACAGG
RNAcentral lists this ribosomal RNA (253 nucleotides) under uncultured bacterium. Its description in RNAcentral is "partial 16S ribosomal RNA". It matches the Rfam family "Bacterial small subunit ribosomal RNA", at positions 524 to 776 of the family's 1533-position model. The record is from RNAcentral.